GCCGUGCGUAUUAUACACAACGAAUCUUUAAACUUUCCGAUGGUUUAAUUCUAGUUCGAGAUCUAUAAAAUCUGUAACCACAUCCGUGCACUGAGCUAUCUGUAUAUCAAUAUAAAAUGACAGCGACCAGGAUGCUUUGGCAAAGGACAGUGAACUUCGAUAUCUUUGGAUAUACUAUUUUGACAGGUUUAAAGAGAGUUGCCAUUUAUUUGUACACAUGUUGAAGCUUUAUUAAAAUAUGUUUUCGGAUUCCCGGGUAAAAUAUUGUAUUUCAACUGACUGAGAUUUACCUCGAUGGGCGACGAGAGAGGAGAGGACAACGAAAGACAAACCAUUCAGAUAUUCAAGAUAUUGUGCGGGGGACUCAUUGAAUAAACUGCUGGACUGCUGUUUGACCAAGUCGAAAACAAGGUCCGUUCUGUGAAAAUAUUCAAGAUGUGACUCAGCACAGUUUAUGUGUUUAAAGUGCUGAAACACCUUGGUCUGUGGAAGCCUGUCCAGUUCUCCUCUCUCCGCUUGGCUCUGUCCGCUCUUCUGUCCACUCACCCUUGCAGUGAAGAGGGGUAUGGAGUCCACAGAAGGCCCAGUUGGAGUGACCCUGAUGAGUGACCUCAACUUGUCCACUGUAGGCAUGAUGGACGGCAUCUCGGAGGAAGGGGGGAAUUUCUCCACCAACUUCUCUGACCACAGCGUGCCUUUCCAGGGCAGCAGCUCCAUGAUGACGGCCGUCAUCUCGCUGACCGUGUUCCUGGUGGGACUGACCGGCAACACCCUGGCCAUCUACGUGGUGCUGCGCUACGCCAAAAUGAAGACGGUCACCAACAUCUACAUCUUCAACUUGGCGGUGGCCGACGAGCUGUACAUCCUCGGGCUGCCCUUCCUGACCACCCAGAACGUCCUCUCCUACUGGCCGUUCGGCUCCUUCCUCUGCCGCGUGGUCAUGACGGCCGAUUCGCUGAACCAGUUCACCAGCAUAUUCUGUCUGACGGUCAUGAGCAUUGACCGCUACCUGGCCGUGGUGCACCCCAUCCGCUCCACCCGGUGGAGGCGGCCGCGCGUGGCCCGUGUGGUCAGUGCGGCCGUGUGGGCCGUGUCCUUUGUGGUGGUGUUGCCCGUGGUGGUGUUCUCAGAUGUCCAGGACACCUUCCGUUCUUGUAACAUGAACUGGCCAGAGCCACACAACGUGUGGUCCACCGUGUUCAUCCUCUACACGGCCAUCUUGGGUUUCUUCGGGCCACUGCUGGUCAUCUGCCUUUGCUACCUGCUCAUUGUGGUGAAGGUGAAGUCGUCGGGGGCGCGGGCCGGCUUCACCAAACGGCGGCGCUCGGAACGUAAGGUGACCCGCAUGGUGGUGGUCAUCGUUGUGGUAUUUGUCCUCUGCUGGCUGCCCUUCUUCAUCAUCAACAUUGUCAACCUGGUGGUCAUCCUGCCGGAGAGCAGCGCCAUGGCCGGCAUCUACUUCUUCUCGGUCAUCCUCUCCUACGCCAACAGCUGUGCUAACCCACUGCUGUAUGGCUUCUUGUCUGACAACUUCAAGCAGAGUUUCCGGAAGGUGCUGUGUGUGCGUAAAACCAAUGGUGUGGAGGACGGCGACCCCAGCCAACCGCGUACAGAGAAGACCACUACGCAUGACACCUUCCUGACGCCUCGCAACAACGACUUCAAUGGCCAAGUGCAGAGCAGCCAGGUGUCUCCUCACACUCCCAACCUCGGGACUUCUGCCUCUCAUGCUGCAGACCUCAGCUUGCACUCUGUUGCCACGUCAACCUCCAGCCAUGACCUCUGAACCUCUGUCAGCACUUCAGCACCCAUAGGUGGAGAGACUGCGCUUUUUCAGCGCGCCAGCCAUGUAACGUGGACGAGUGCUGAGAACAGUGGCUACAAACCGGAGGUUGUGGGCUGGAACUCAAGCUGGAACUCAAGCACGGCCGACUCCAGCGGGUACUCUUUCAAAGACUCAGUGUGGGAAAAGGUUAUUCUGCAAGAUGGCAAAAUUGCACACUGAGUGAUCACGAAGGAGAUGAUGAUGAAAGGAAACAAUCCAAAAAGUCAUUAUGAGCCAGCAUCCCU
RNA transcript from Alosa alosa (allis shad), 2070 nucleotides. It is a transcript of the gene named somatostatin receptor type 5, with no coding region annotated. Lineage: Eukaryota; Metazoa; Chordata; Actinopteri; Clupeiformes; Clupeidae. The transcript has 4 exons. The record is from RefSeq and is a predicted model, not a curated record.